CUCUGGACUACACCAAACGAAGUCUGGGAAUUUUCAUUGACCUCCAGAAGAGAAGGAGGCACAUGCCUGGCCGCAAGCAGGGAAGAUCUAUUACCUCCUGCGGCAGAGCGAGCUGGUGGACCUGUACAUCCAGGUGGCACAGAAUGUGGACCUGUACACAGGCGACCCCAACCUGGGGCUGGAGCUGUUUGAGGCAGCUGGAGACAUCUUCUUCAAUGGGGCCUGGGAGCGGGAGGAAGGCAUGUCCUUCUACCGGGUGAGCUGGCCUGUGGGCUGAUGUGGGUGGGCCUCAGUGGGGCACCUGGAGGGCUGAGGCACAGGUGUGGCAGGGUAGAGGCCUCCCAAAUGGAGGCAGGGCCACCCAUGCACAUGAUUAGUUUCCAAGUGGUCUCACCGGGAAUGAUAUUGACCAUGCCCCUGCCUGGGACAAACUCUCGGGGCCUGGACGUGAUAAUGGCUCUACCCUUGUACCUGAUGACCUCAAGCAACCAUGAGUGGGAAGUCCUGUCCCCAUCUUCCAGAUGAGGAAACUGAGGCUCAGAGAGGCACAGGGACAUGUCAAAGGACACACAGCAUAUCAGUGGGAGGCCCAGGUCUGCACGCACCCCGAAGUGGGACGGCUUCUCCCUUCCUCUGAGCUCACGGUGUGGCUCAGCCCUGGGCACAGAUCAAUGUGGUGUUUUUAGAGCAGAGAGGAGUGCUGGCUCCCCCCAGUCAGACCUCCGGUGCCCAGGUGGGAGAGGCUGGUCUGCGGCUAUCGGGUGUAGCUGGAUGGGCCUCAGGUGACUCUUCAGCCCCCAACUUGGGUGUCUGAACUGUGUGUUAUCCCAGAGCACAGAGCUGUGUCGAGGUGCAGGGGUAGCUGGGGUGUGGGAAGCUCCAAGCACGUGUUUGAGCUCUGAGGAGGGCGCUGGGCAAGGUGGGUGCUGCGGGAAACCUGACCCCACCUGCCUGUGUGGUAGGACCGGGCCCUGCCCCGGCAGUGACUACGGGCAACCGCAAGGUGGAGCUGCAGCUACAGCUGUGCAACAAGCUGGUGUCACUGCUGGCCACACUGGAGGAGCCCCAGGAGGACUUGGAGUUUGCUUACAUGGCCCUAGCACUCAGGAUCACUCUGGGGGACCGGCUGAACGAACGCGUGGCCUACCACCGGCUGGCCGCCCUGCACCACCGGCUGGACCAUGGCAAGCUGGCGGAGCACUUCUACCUCAAGGCCGUUUAGCUCUGCAACUCGCCGCUGGAGUUCGACGAGGAGACCCUCUACUACGUGAAGGUGUACCUGGUGCUCGGUGACAUCAUCUUCUACGACCUGAAGGACCCGUUUGAUGCAGCCGGGUACUACCAGCUGGCACUGGCAGCCGCCGUGGACCUGGGCAACAAGAAGGCACAGCUGAAGAUCUACACGCGGCCGGCCACCAUCUCCCACAACUUCCUCCUGGACUGCGAGAAGUGGCUCUUCUUCUACCAGAAGGCCAGGACCUUCGCCACAGAGCUCAGCGUCCACAGGGUCAACCUACCUCCUCUGCCACUCUGCGGGUGGGCCCCCUGGUUGGCCUCCAGCCACCCUCGCUGAGGACAGUAUCCGAGGGAGUGGGUUUUGUGCAAGGAGGAUGAUCUCCUGCCUCUCCUGGUGUCUCCCGUAGCUCGUUUUCUGGGUAAUGGAAGCAUAAAAGCAGGGUUCAAAUAGCAAUAAAUGUUUUUUUUUGCAAAAACAUACCGAAGUCCCCAUGGCAUCCUUCCCUGUGUGCUUCCUGGGCUGUGUCUAGGGGACAGCUCCUUCCCUGGUGGCAGCCCUCUGAUCUUGGGGAUGAGAAGGACCGUGAGUCCAACAGACCUGGGCCAGGUCACCAUGAGCCUCGGUUUUCUUGGCGGCCAAAGGGGAGAUGGUGAUUGAACUCUGGGCAGCUCCCUGCUCUCCCUGCUCAGAGUUCUUGCUGUAGGUCUCGUGCCGCCUUUGCCUUUAACCUUCAGGCCACUGUGCCCGGAUGUGGGGGCUGCUAGUGUCCCUGUUCGCCAUUGAAGAAAUAGAGGCACAGAGAGGUUAGGUGUCUGGCCCACCGUCACACAGCAGGUAGAGGCGGACACGCAGAGCCCAGUACACUGACCACCACACCACCCUGCCAGCCUGCAGCCAGGAAGGUGUCCCCCAUUAGGACCCAAGGUCAGCUCCUGGAGCUCUCUCGUGGUGUCAGGAGAGCCGCAGGCCAGUGAGGGUGGCCCCGGGGAUCCCUCACUCAGUGUCCUUUGCUCCCAGACUUGGUUGGGCCGAGCCUGGCCAGUCCCACCUCUGGCCACUGGUCA
Molecule: long non-coding RNA, 2301 nt
Organism: Macaca fascicularis (crab-eating macaque)
Lineage: Eukaryota; Metazoa; Chordata; Mammalia; Primates; Cercopithecidae
Source: Ensembl